Molecule: ribosomal RNA, 497 nt
Filed under: uncultured bacterium
Lineage: Bacteria
Description: partial 16S ribosomal RNA
Rfam family: Bacterial small subunit ribosomal RNA
Source: RNAcentral
GCUGAACGCUGGCGGCGUGCCUAAUACAUGCAAGUCGAGCGAACGGACGAGAAGCUUGCUUCUCUGAUGUUAGCGGCGGACGGGUGAGUAACACGUGGAUAACCUACCUAUAAGACUGGGAUAACUUCGGGAAACCGGAGCUAAUACCGGAUAAUAUUUUGAACCGCAUGGUUCAAAAGUGAAAGACGGUCUUGCUGUCACUUAUAGAUGGAUCCGCGCUGCAUUAGCUAGUUGGUAAGGUAACGGCUUACCAAGGCAACGAUGCAUAGCCGACCUGAGAGGGUGAUCGGCCACACUGGAACUGAGACACGGUCCAGACUCCUACGGGAGGCAGCAGUAGGGAAUCUUCCGCAAUGGGCGAAAGCCUGACGGAGCAACGCCGCGUGAGUGAUGAAGGUCUUCGGAUCGUAAAACUCUGUUAUUAGGGAAGAACAUAUGUGUAAGUAACUGUGCACAUCUUGACGGUACCUAAUCAGAAAGCCACGGCUAACUACGUG